Molecule: long non-coding RNA, 2034 nt
Organism: Trachemys scripta elegans
Lineage: Eukaryota; Metazoa; Chordata; Testudines; Emydidae
Exons: 2
Source: RefSeq, a predicted model, not a curated record
AAGAGCUUAGCUGCAAAAUGUAUAAAAAGAGAAAUGCUGCUUAUGAUGGUGUGCUUAAUCUGAGACGUGCCAGUCUCCUUGCACCGCUUUGAGAUCUCAAAUAAACUUUGAUUGCUUCUCCACCCUGGUGUGUUCAUUGGCGCAAAGCACACCGGGCAACGAACCCCACUAUUGCUUUCCUCGGGCACUCUGUGCCGGCAACAGUCUUGGUGUCCCUGGGUGGGGUCGAGGCUGAAAUUUAGCCUUGCCCGGACCCCUCUCAGAGGUCGACGGAUUGCGGCAACGACCGACGCCCAGCGCGCACUGGUGACUUCAUCAGGGGCCUCGGUGGAGACGUGGUUUGGUCGACCCCAGAGGGCACAACGGUGCAACGCACUCGUACAGUGGAGAAGCGGCUGCGGGCGACUGUGGGGAACCAGUCCCGUGGAUAGGGCAACGGUGUGAAACUGGACCCUUGGAUAAGGUAUACCAAAGUUUUGCAGCCUCUCCCACUGGAUGCCCCUGUCCACUCCCUGCAACCAGGUGACUCCGUUCUCGUUCAUACCUGGAAGGACGAGCCUCUCCAAGAGAAGUGGAAGGGACCCCACACUGUCGCACACAGCAGCAAAGGUUGAGGGACACAAAAACUGGAUCCAUCACUCUCGUCUAAAAGCAGUGCCCGCUCCUGAACAGUGGACCGUCCAGCCUAAGGAAAAGACUGCCAGCGACGACCUGGGACUUAAACUGUUAUUCAAAAGACAAUAAGGUCUGCUGGGAAUGCCCUGUGACCUCUUUGGACAGCCACAGCACACUCCCCGCGAGAACUUUAAGCAUUGGUUGUGUUUAUUUUCACAGGGCCGGCCUAACCUGGUGGCCUGGUCCCUUUUGUUUUUAGUCUGCCUGCUAUUGGUAAUUGUUAUUUUGUGGGUAUUUGGGGAAUUGUAAUUGUUAGUCCCCAGGGUUACCUGCCCAAAAUGGAAUCAGGUCCAGGGUCUGCCACUGUGUUACUCUUUGCCAUAGGGCACUCCUCUCAUUGACUCCCAUUUCCCCCCAGGCACAUGCGGGAUGGAGAAAAAUCCCUAUCAAUUUAGAAACAAAUACGUAUAAGGCCCUGAAGGUUUGCUUUGCCCAAGAGUUUAACCUCUCUAACUGCUGGGUAUGCUCCCAAAUCCGGCACCAUGCGGCAGGGUUACCUUGGAGGGUGGUCCCCCAAAAUUGGUCAGAUAUCUGCUGGGGAUGGUUCAGUAGGGAAAAAAUACCUCGGGUACCCCCUGGUCGCAAAACUGUACCAUUGAAUCCCAGUAUGCAUUAAGGGACGACCCCUGGAAGCCGCAGGCCAAUUCAACACAUCUCCCUUCCCCUAUUAGGCUGCGGUCAGUGGUCCCUGGGUUGGUGUGCUAUCGACAGUUCAAGUCUAGCAAUCACACCUGGCCCGCUGGAAAUAGCACCUGUCAGUAUUAUUUAUCCCCUGACAGUGACGCUUCCAUCCCUGUCUAUGUUAAUGGCAGAUCCGACUCUACCGUCUGGUUUGGAGCGUUUAGUGAUACCCAAACAAGUAGAUGGAGUAGCGGUUAUAAUGGCUUGGUAGGGAAUGGCCACUCCUUUUACAUUUGCGGUACCUCUGCCUAUAAGUGGCUACCACAUCGGUGAUAUCGAAGCUGCUAUCUAGAAUAUCUUGCCCCUCCCCUUCGUGUCCUCCCUAAACUGCCCCCUGGCCGCCCCAGACAGUGUAGAUCUUUGUAUACCGCCCCAGAGCCCAUUAAGAAACCCAACCUGUUUCCUAUGAUCCUCCUCCCAUCCUAUGGGGUGGGACGGCUGGCUCAAUUUUAUCGUAGGCUCUCUGUGUUUCUCACCAAGUCCGCCAAUGAAACCUUGGCCAUAGAAAAAAGCCUUAACUCAGAGCUUUACCAGCUCCGGUUGCUGUCCCUGCAAAACAGACAGGCCUUAAAUUAUGUUUUAGCCUCCCAGGGCGGGGUGUGUGCCCUUAUUAGGAGUGAAUGUUGUACUUAUGUCCCGGAAAACUCACAGGACAUUAACAAGCACGUCCUGUCGGCC